RNAcentral lists this ribosomal RNA (1000 nucleotides) under Lacticaseibacillus paracasei. RNAcentral's name for it is "bacterial SSU rRNA". It matches the Rfam family "Bacterial small subunit ribosomal RNA", at positions 478 to 1474 of the family's 1533-position model. The record is from RNAcentral. Lineage: Bacteria; Bacillati; Bacillota; Bacilli; Lactobacillales; Lactobacillaceae.
CCAACCAAAAAACCCACGGCUUAUUACGUCUCAGCAGCCGUCGAUAAUACGUAGGUGACAAGCGUUAUCCGGAUUUAUUGGGCGUAAAGCGAGCGCAGGCGGUUUUUUUAAGUCUGAUGUGAAAGCCCUCGGCUUAACCGAGGAAGCGCAUCGGAAACUGGGAAACUUGAGUGCAGAAGAGGACAGUGGAACUCCAUGUGUAGCGGUGAAAUGCGUAGAUAUAUGGAAGAACACCAGUGGCGAAGGCGGCUGUCUGGUCUGUAACUGACGCUGAGGCUCGAAAGCAUGGGUAGCGAACAGGAUUAGAUACCCUGGUAGUCCAUGCCGUAAACGAUGAAUGCUAGGUGUUGGAGGGUUUCCGCCCUUCAGUGCCGCAGCUAACGCAUUAAGCAUUCCGCCUGGGGAGUACGACCGCAAGGUUGAAACUCAAAGGAAUUGACGGGGGCCCGCACAAGCGGUGGAGCAUGUGGUUUAAUUCGAAGCAACGCGAAGAACCUUACCAGGUCUUGACAUCUUUUGAUCACCUGAGAGAUCAGGUUUCCCCUUCGGGGGCAAAAUGACAGGUGGUGCAUGGUUGUCGUCAGCUCGUGUCGUGAGAUGUUGGGUUAAGUCCCGCAACGAGCGCAACCCUUAUGACUAGUUGCCAGCAUUUAGUUGGGCACUCUAGUAAGACUGCCGGUGACAAACCGGAGGAAGGUGGGGAUGACGUCAAAUCAUCAUGCCCCUUAUGACCUGGGCUACACACGUGCUACAAUGGAUGGUACAACGAGUUGCGAGACCGCGAGGUCAAGCUAAUCUCUUAAAGCCAUUCUCAGUUCGGACUGUAGGCUGCAACUCGCCUACACGAAGUCGGAAUCGCUAGUAAUCGCGGAUCAGCACGCCGCGGUGAAUACGUUCCCGGGCCUUGUACACACCGCCCGUCACACCAUGAGAGUUUGUAACACCCGAAGCCGGUGGCGUAACCCUUUAGGAGCGAGCCGUCUAAGGUGACACGAUGCCA